Molecule: unclassified non-coding RNA, 412 nt
Filed under: soil metagenome
Description: partial contains 5.8S ribosomal RNA, internal transcribed spacer 2, and large subunit ribosomal RNA
Rfam family: 5.8S ribosomal RNA (bases 1-120)
Source: RNAcentral
GAUGAAGAACGUAGCGAAAUGCGAUAAGUAAUGUGAAUUGCAGAAUUCAGUGAAUCAUCGAAUCUUUGAACGCACCUUGCGCUCUUUGGUAUUCCGAAGAGCAUGCCUGUUUGAGUGUCAUGAAAAUAUCAACCUUGACUUGGGUUUUGUGCUCUAGUCUCGGCUUGGAAUUGGGUGCUUGCCGCUUUUACGAGCGGCUCACCUUAAAUGUAUUAGCUGGAUCUGUCUUUGAGACUUGGUUUGACUUGGCGUAAUAAGUAUUUCGCUAAGGACAUUCUUCGGAGUGGCCUCGUUUCUAGGACGCUUGUCCGCUUUCCAAUACAAGUUCCACCUCGUGGACAUGACUUUUUAUUAUCUGGCCUCAAAUCAGGUAGGACUACCCGCUGAACUUAAGCAUAUCAAUAGCGGAGGA